AAAGAUUUAGUUUAUUUAAAAUAUUAGCUUGUCAAGUUAAAGAUAUUUAUUACUAAAAUAAUCUUUA
Molecule: transfer RNA, 67 nt
Filed under: Rubiconia intermedia
Lineage: Eukaryota; Metazoa; Arthropoda; Insecta; Hemiptera; Pentatomidae
Description: tRNA-Asp
Source: RNAcentral